This 255-nucleotide ribosomal RNA is filed under the name uncultured bacterium. Its description in RNAcentral is "partial 16S ribosomal RNA". It matches the Rfam family "Bacterial small subunit ribosomal RNA", at positions 524 to 776 of the family's 1533-position model. The record is from RNAcentral.
UACGUAGGGGGCGAGCGUUGUCCGGAGUUACUGGGCGUAAAGCGCACGCAGGCGGUCUGUUAAGUUUGGAGUGACAGUUGGUGGCUUAACUGCCAAAGUGCUUCGAAAACUGAACAGACUUGAGGGCUUACAGAGGGACACGGAAUUCCGGGUGGAGUGGUGAAAUGCGUAGAGAUCCGGAGGAACACCAAAGGCGAAGGCAGUGUCCUGGGGAGUACCUGACGCUCAGGUGCGAAAGCCAGGGGAGCGAACGGG